GGGGGUAUGGCGCAGUUGGGAGCGCGCUUGACUGGCAGUCAAGAGGUCAGGGGUUCAAGUCCCCUUAUCUCCACCA
Molecule: transfer RNA, 76 nt
Filed under: Natronincola ferrireducens
Lineage: Bacteria; Bacillati; Bacillota; Clostridia; Peptostreptococcales; Natronincolaceae
Also listed under: 1 other name
Description: tRNA_Ala_GGC
Rfam family: tRNA
About the family: Transfer RNA (tRNA) molecules are approximately 80 nucleotides in length. Their secondary structure includes four short double-helical elements and three loops (D, anti-codon, and T loops). Further hydrogen bonds mediate the characteristic L-shaped molecular structure. tRNAs have two regions of fundamental functional importance: the anti-codon, which is responsible for specific mRNA codon recognition, and the 3' end, to which the tRNAs corresponding amino acid is attached (by aminoacyl-tRNA synthetases). tRNAs cope with the degeneracy of the genetic code in two manners: having more than one tRNA (with a specific anti-codon) for a particular amino acid; and 'wobble' base-pairing, i.e. permitting non-standard base-pairing at the 3rd anti-codon position.
Source: RNAcentral